GGAACCGGCUCGCGAGCGCAGCUAUGGCUGCUGGCGUACCCUGUGCGUUGGUCACCAGCUGCUCCUCCGCCUUCUCCGGAGACCAGCUGGUCCAACAUAUUCUUGGAACAGAAGAUCUUAUUGUCGAAUUGACUUCCAAUGAUGCUGUGAGAUUUUAUCCCUGGACCAUUGAUAAUAAAUACUAUUCAGCAGACAUCAAUCUAUGUGUGGUGCCAAACAAAUUUCUUGUUACUGCAGAGAUUGCAGAAUCUGUCCAAGCAUUUGUGGUUUACUUUGACAGCACACAAAAAUCGGGCCUUGAUAGUGUCUCCUCAUGGCUUCCACUGGCAGAAGCAUGGUUACCUGAGGUGAUGAUCUUGGUCUGCGAUAGAGUGUCUGAAGAUGGUAUAAACCGACAAAAAGCUCAAGAAUGGUGCAUCAAACAUGGCUUUGAAUUGGUAGAACUUAGUCCAGAGGAGUUGCCUGAGGAGGAUGAUGACUUCCCAGAAUCUACAGGAGUAAAGCGAAUUGUCCAGGCCCUGAAUGCCAAUGUGUGGUCCAAUGUAGUGAUGAAGAAUGUUUCUUGGACAUUGACAUUCAAAGGUCAAAUAUUUAAUCUGAAAAUCUAGUUAUUAAAAACGUAAGAGGUGAAGUGCAUUCCUUCCUGCCCUCCACCCAGAUAAAUCGGAUUUGUUUUCUAUAUGGGAAUUCAUGAUUUAAUAUGCGAUUAUUAUCAGUCUGAACAACUUACUUGGUUAUAGGAUAUCUUCAUAACUUUUUUCCUUUAGUCUAUUCUUAAAAGUUAGUAAUACACAAGCAACCAAAGAAAA
RNAcentral lists this small RNA (809 nucleotides) under Pongo abelii (Sumatran orangutan). Its description in RNAcentral is "processed transcript". Lineage: Eukaryota; Metazoa; Chordata; Mammalia; Primates; Hominidae. The record is from RNAcentral.